CCUACGGGCGGCUGCAGUCGAGAAUCAUUCACAAUGGGGGAAACCCUGAUGGUGCGACGCCGCGUGGGGGAAUGAAGGUCUUCGGAUUGUAAACCCCUGUCAUGUGGGAGCAAAUUAAAAAGAUAGUACCACAAGAGGAAGAGACGGCUAACUCUGUGCCAGCAGCCGCGGUAAUACAGAGGUCUCACGCGGUGUUCGGAAUCACUGGGCGUAAGGCGUGCGUAGGCUGUUUCGUAAGUCGUGUGUGAAAGGCGCGGGCUCAACCCGCGGACGGCACAUGAUACUGGGAGACUAGAGUAAUGGAGGGGGAACCGGAAUUCUCGGUGUAGCAGUGAAAUGCGUAGAUAUCGGGAGGAACACUCGUGGCGAAGGCGGGUUCCUGGACAUUAACUGACGCUGAGGCACGAAGGCCAGGGGAGCGAAAGGGAUUAGAUACCCGAGUAGUC
Molecule: ribosomal RNA, 446 nt
Filed under: uncultured bacterium
Lineage: Bacteria
Description: partial 16S ribosomal RNA
Rfam family: Bacterial small subunit ribosomal RNA
Source: RNAcentral